Coffea eugenioides is the source of this 414-nucleotide long non-coding RNA. RefSeq lists it as uncharacterized. The record is from RefSeq and is a predicted model, not a curated record. The transcript is spliced from 2 exons. Lineage: Eukaryota; Viridiplantae; Streptophyta; Magnoliopsida; Gentianales; Rubiaceae.
UACUCUGACAAAACAGGAGAUGACUGGAUAAAGAUAUCACACAUUCCUCGAGUUGACAUAUCUGACAAAUAUUAUUAAUCUGCUCAGAUGAUACUCCAUUGAUGGCUCAAAAUGAAGCUACAGCAGAAGACAUUGAGGGAUCAACCGCUACGUCAACUUUUCACUUGGGUUCAUGUAAAAUUUCAAAUAAUUGUAAAUAUGGUUGAAGAGGCACAUCCACUUGCUUUGUUCAAAAUCAUUUGUUGAAAGCGUAUGUACCCUUACAAAUUUCCAGAUUGAAUUUCAAGUGAUUACACAACCAGUCUUUAUUUCUUCAAAUUAUUAUUGUCCUAUUGUAUGUAAGUUUGUGUAGAUUUAAUAAAAAAGAAAGUUUGUACUUCGUGCUUAUCUAUAUAUUGUAUUAUUGACAAUCUA